Oncorhynchus nerka (sockeye salmon) is the source of this 2980-nucleotide long non-coding RNA. RefSeq lists it as uncharacterized. The transcript has 3 exons. NCBI's taxonomy places the organism in Eukaryota, Metazoa, Chordata, Actinopteri, Salmoniformes, Salmonidae. The record is from RefSeq and is a predicted model, not a curated record.
ACCAUGCUCUUACCUCUUCAACUGAACAGGGCAACAGCACUUGGCUAUCAAGAGAUGGAGCAUAAAGAAAACGGACAUACAAGUCAAUACAAUUGGAUAAGUAGUUAUUGUGUUAACAUUAACAGAGUUUACUCAAAUCCACAAUAUGUUGCGUGAAGUCGGCUAUGCUGACCAUUGUAUGGUAUCAUCAGCUCGUGCUAUAGUAGAUUACAUUCCACACGUUAGCAUCGCCGCUAGCUUGCUACGAACCAAGGGCAGGUUCGAAAUUGGCUAUCCGUAGAGCCGCUAUCCCGUUAGCUAUCUAGAAUCAGUGGCUAGAUAACGUUAGCUAUAUUUCUACACUAAGUAACGUCAGCUAGCUAUCUCCGAUCAUUCAACAUUUCUGAAAACCUGUCAUCGGCUCAAGCAGUGCCAUAUUGUAGUGAUAUCUAGCUAUGCAUGUCCCACAAUUGCGAGUUACAUUAGCUAGUCUAAUAGACUGCCAGAAUUAUCGAACACAAACAUUGACAUAGCUUUACUAACUAGCUGAAGCUGGGUGGCUACCCUACUAGCUAGCCAACCGCUUACGUUACCUCGAACCAAAUCACUGCUUCAAAUUCCUCCUUGCAUUAGCUAUGUUAUGCAUUAAAUAACACAUUUUUAUAUAUCGUGAUAACGAUUAAGAGUCAUGAUGGACGCUAUGAUAUAAAUAGAAUUCGCGUGCAUAAUGUACUCACUAUUCCUUUAUGAGUACCAUCCCGAACGUGUACUGAACUGCUUCUUCUUUAAAUUUGUAUUGGCGGAUCACAACUAAGGCGCAUAUACCGCCCCCUACUAUACUGGAUGGCUUGUGUACAUCGCCGCGGGCCGCACAGAGUGUCUCGCUUGUGGGCGUGCUAGCAGCUUUUCGAUUGUGCGUAAAGAAUUCAGCAUAGCAAGUUUGUAUGAAGGUCUAGUUAUUCAAUGGGUAAUUAGUGUAAUCCAUUUUCCAUGUCAUUAAUUUAUUCACAGACAAAUAGUAAUAUGCUCGAAACCGCGCUGGUGACAAACAACUGUUUCUAAUCAUUCACAUGGCUGGGUGAACCUAUUCAAAUGAAUGUGGUACCUUCAAGUGUUUGGAGAUUGCUCCCAAGGAUGAACCAGACCGGUGGAGGUCUACAGUUUUCUGAGGUCUUGGCUGAUUUCUUUUGAUUUUCCCAUGAUGUCAAGCAAAGAGGCACUGUGUUUGAAGGUAGGCCUUGAAAUACAUCCACAGGUACACCUGCAAUUGACUCAGAUGUUGUCAAUUCGCCAAUCAGAACCUCGCCAUGACCUCAUUUUCUGGAAUUUUCCAAGCUGUUUAAAGGCACUGUGAACUUAGUGUAUGUAAACUUCUGACCCACUGGAAUUGUGACACAGUGAAUUUUAAGUGAAAUAAUCUGUCUGUAAACAAUUGUUGGAAAAAUAACUUGUGUCAUGCACAAAGUAGAUGUCUUAACCGACUUGCCAAAACUAUAGUUUGUUAACAAGAAAUUUGUGGAGUGGUUGAAAAACUAGUUAUAAUGACUCCAACCUAAGUGUAUGUAAACUUCCGACUUCAGCUUUAACUUUAUAUUUAGCUAGCUAUCUUGAUGUAUUUAUCACUGUAAAAAAACGAACUCCAAAUGCAGUUGUAGGUAGCUAGCUAACAGCUAUGGAGGAGGGUGAAACGAGAGCAGCCCCAACUGCCGGUAGGCAGUAGGCUAUGCUAGAUAGGGCAGGUACUUUCGUGUAGUUCCUGUCCCUAGAAGUGAGGAUGGAGAUAAUAGCAACAUAAUAUUCAGUGUGGUGAAUUUGACUAUUAUCAAGUCUGUUUCUUGUGAGGUUUUCUGUCCUCAGAUAAAGAGAGCUAUGAGAGCCAGUCUACAUAGGAAGAGGUCCCAAUGAAGAGCAGUGGUUCUCAGUCCUGGGGAUUCAAAGGGAUACCUUGUAACUGGAGAUUUCUUCAAAACGAUUGCCUACAGUUAACGUGUAGGGCACUGCAAGGUUGGGUGACCAGGGCCAUCUGGGACUGCCUCCUGGAGGAAUUCAGGUGUGUGAAGGCUACCUUUUGUUCUACAUAACUUCAUGAGGAUGGACACGAGGACCAGGAGGGGAUCUGCAGCUCACUGCCGUGUGCCAGAGAAGCCUGCUGCGCUGCACGAUGUUUCAAGGAUGGGGUCCAACAACGCAGCAAGAGUCAAGCUGUGUGCGGGAGAUAUUCACCUCCUACUUCUUCGAAGAGGGUGCUGUUCCCUGGCAACACCAUAGACUACACUAUGCACAACCAAAGACUCUUUUAAGAGCCAUUCACAUUGCAAUAAGAGUAUUCUUCCAUUUACUUAGCUAUUUCAACUGCAGUUAUUAAAUUCUCAGUUUCUCUCCCUUUGAUUUCUACUUUUCAGAUGAGGGUGCUGUUUAGGUAAGGGUGUGAUGUCUCUACAAAAACAACAGGCUCUUUUUAAGAGUCAUGCAUGUUGAAAAAUGUAGACACCCUAUAACCCACACCUACACACUUGUGUAUCAAUCUGAUUGGUGGAGUGUGUUGUACAGUAAGCAGGCUCAGGUGUGUUACUGUGACUCCUUCCACUUUCAAAUAAUAAGCAAGAGGACCAACCAUGGAGAAUAGUAAGAGAUUUCUUUAUUUCUAUUUACACUACCGUUCAAAAGUUUGGGGUCACUUAGACAUUUCCUUGUUUUUGAAAGAAACCAUUUUUUCUGUCCAUUAAAAUAACAUCAAAUUGACUAGAAAUACAGUGUAGACAUUAUUAAUGUUGUAAAUGACUAUUGUAGCUGGAAAUGGCAGAUUUUUUAAAUGGAAUAUCUACAUAGGCGUACAGAGGCCCAUUAUCAGCAACCAUCAUUCCUGUGUUCCAAUGGCACAUUGUGUUAGCUAAUCCAAGUUUAUAAUUUUAAAAGGCUAAUUUAUCAUUAGAAUAUUAUUUUGCAAUUAUGUUAGCACUGCUGAAACCUGUUGUACUGAUUAAAGAAGCAAUACAUCUCA